This 1265-nucleotide ribosomal RNA is filed under the name Bacillus amyloliquefaciens. RNAcentral describes it as "bacterial SSU rRNA". It matches the Rfam family "Bacterial small subunit ribosomal RNA", at positions 82 to 1333 of the family's 1533-position model. The record is from RNAcentral. Lineage: Bacteria; Bacillati; Bacillota; Bacilli; Caryophanales; Bacillaceae.
UUACUGCUUUAAGGCGGCGGACGGGUGAGUAACACGUGGGUAACCUGCCUGUAAGACUGGGAUAACUCCGGGAAACCGGGGCUAAUACCGGAUGCUUGUUUGAACCGCAUGGUUCAAACAUAAAAGGUGGCUUCGGCUACCACUUACAGAUGGACCCGCGGCGCAUUAGCUAGUUGGUGAGGUAACGGCUCACCAAGGCGACGAUGCGUAGCCGACCUGAGAGGGUGAUCGGCCACACUGGGACUGAGACACGGCCCAGACUCCUACGGGAGGCAGCAGUAGGGAAUCUUCCGCAAUGGACGAAAGUCUGACGGAGCAACGCCGCGUGAGUGAUGAAGGUUUUCGGAUCGUAAAGCUCUGUUGUUAGGGAAGAACAAGUGCCGUUCAAAUAGGGCGGCACCUUGACGGUACCUAACCAGAAAGCCACGGCUAACUACGUGCCAGCAGCCGCGGUAAUACGUAGGUGGCAAGCGUUGUCCGGAAUUAUUGGGCGUAAAGGGCUCGCAGGCGGUUUCUUAAGUCUGAUGUGAAAGCCCCCGGCUCAACCGGGGAGGGUCAUUGGAAACUGGGGAACUUGAGUGCAGAAGAGGAGAGUGGAAUUCCACGUGUAGCGGUGAAAUGCGUAGAGAUGUGGAGGAACACCAGUGGCGAAGGCGACUCUCUGGUCUGUAACUGACGCUGAGGAGCGAAAGCGUGGGGAGCGAACAGGAUUAGAUACCCUGGUAGUCCACGCCGUAAACGAUGAGUGCUAAGUGUUAGGGGGUUUCCGCCCCUUAGUGCUGCAGCUAACGCAUUAAGCACUCCGCCUGGGGAGUACGGUCGCAAGACUGAAACUCAAAGGAAUUGACGGGGGCCCGCACAAGCGGUGGAGCAUGUGGUUUAAUUCGAAGCAACGCGAAGAACCUUACCAGGUCUUGACAUCCUCUGACAAUCCUAGAGAUAGGACGUCCCCUUCGGGGGCAGAGUGACAGGUGGUGCAUGGUUGUCGUCAGCUCGUGUCGUGAGAUGUUGGGUUAAGUCCCGCAACGAGCGCAACCCUUGAUCUUAGUUGCCAGCAUUCAGUUGGGCACUCUAAGGUGACUGCCGGUGACAAACCGGAGGAAGGUGGGGAUGACGUCAAAUCAUCAUGCCCCUUAUGACCUGGGCUACACACGUGCUACAAUGGGCAGAACAAAGGGCAGCGAAACCGCGAGGUUAAGCCAAUCCCACAAAUCUGUUCUCAAGUGUCGGAUCGCAGUCUGCAACUCGACUGCGUUGAAAGGUCC